This 458-nucleotide ribosomal RNA is filed under the name uncultured bacterium. Its description in RNAcentral is "partial 16S ribosomal RNA". It matches the Rfam family "Bacterial small subunit ribosomal RNA", at positions 338 to 795 of the family's 1533-position model. The record is from RNAcentral.
CCUACGUGAGGCUGCAGUGAGGAAUAUUGGUCAAUGGGCGAGAGCCUGAACCAGCCAAGUCGCGUGAGGGAGUACUGCCCUAUGGGUUGUAAACCUCUUUUGUCGGGGAGCAAAAGCCGGACGUGUCCGGCUGUGAUAGUACCCGAAGAAAAAGCAUCGGCUAACUCCGUGCCAGCAGCAGCGGUAAUAAGGAGGAUGCGAGCGUUAUCCGGAUUUAUUGGGGUUAAAGGGUGCGCAGGCGGAUUUUUAAGUCAGCGGUCAAAUCGUGGGGCUCAACCCCAUCCAGCCGUUGAAACUGGGGAUCUAGAGUGUGCGAGAGGUAUGCGGAAUGCGUGGUGUAGCGGUGAAAUGCAGAGAUAUCACGCAGAACCCCGAUUGCGAAGGCAGCAUACCGGUGCACAACUGACGCUCAGGCACGAAAGCGUGGGUAUCGAACAGGAUUAGAUACCCUAGUAGUC